GUCUCAGGCCGUAUCAGCCUGAAGGCGCCCGAUCUCGUCUGAUCUCGGAACCCGCUAAGCAGGGUCGGGCCUGGUUAGGAUCUUGGAUGGGAGACCACCUGGGAAUCCCGGGUGCUCGAGGCU
This 123-nucleotide ribosomal RNA is filed under the name Bison bison bison. The record is from RNAcentral. Lineage: Eukaryota; Metazoa; Chordata; Mammalia; Artiodactyla; Bovidae.